This 497-nucleotide ribosomal RNA is filed under the name uncultured bacterium. RNAcentral describes it as "partial 16S ribosomal RNA". It matches the Rfam family "Bacterial small subunit ribosomal RNA", at positions 28 to 507 of the family's 1533-position model. The record is from RNAcentral.
GAUGAACGCUGGCGGCGUGCCUAAUACAUGCAAGUCGAGCGAACGGACGAGAAGCUUGCUUCUCUGAUGUUAGCGGCGGACGGGUGAGUCACACGUGGAUAACAUAACUCUCCGACUGGGAUACCUUCGGGAAACCGUAGCUACUACCGGAUAAUAUUUUGCACUGCAUGGUUCCAACGUGAAAGAAGGUCUUGCUGUCACUUAUAGAUGGAUCAGCGCUGCAUUCGCUAGUUGGUAAGGUAACGGCUUACCAAGGCAACGAUGCAUAGACGACCUGAGAGGGUGAUCGGCCACACGGGAACUGAGACUCGUUCCAGACUCCUACGGGAGGCAGCAGUAGGGAAUCUUCCGCAAUGGGCGAAAGCCUGACGGAGCAACGCCGCGGGAGUGAUGAAGGUCUUCGGAUCGUAAAACUCUGUUAUUAGGGAAGAACAAAUGUGUAAGUACCUGGGCACAUCUUGACGGUACCUAAUCAGAAAGCCACGGCUAACUACGUG